GCUUGCUCAAGCCCCUCUCACUCUGUGGAGUAUACUUUCACUUCAAUACACCUAUGCUUUCAUGUUCCAUUGCUUUGUUUUGUUCAAUCUUUGUUCACCAUGCCAAGAACCUGGACAACUUGUAGUGAAGACCUUCCACACCAGUAACAUAUUUUGGUGAGCCAGUCGGGAGUUGGCUAGAUUAGUUCCCCAGUCUGUCUUCUCGCCACUCUGGAUGUCCACAUGAGAGGACCCAAGCACGAAUGGUUAGAAAGAUGAACUUGGAACCUCAGACGAGAAUAUGAGAAACAUAAACAGAGACAUAUGACAACCUAAAAAAUGGAGUACAAUACCAAUAAGAAUAACGAUUAUCUUACCAAUAUAAGCUUCAGAAUCACCAAUGUACAUUUCGAUGCAAUGA
Molecule: long non-coding RNA, 400 nt
Filed under: Homo sapiens (human)
Lineage: Eukaryota; Metazoa; Chordata; Mammalia; Primates; Hominidae
Description: non-protein coding lnc-RASA3-7:1
Source: RNAcentral